CACAAUGCCUAUGUCAUUUGCCUCACUUCAUCUCAUCAUGUAGACAUUUUAUCAUCUCACAUCAUCACAAGAAGAAAGGCAUGAUAUUAUAAUUUUGAAAGAGAGUCAGAGAGAAAGAGGGGGUCCACAUUCACAUAACUUUUAUUACACUUCUCCAUUGGACUCUUGAGGGGCCAAAUGCUUCCGUGAGGAGAGACCCUCCGUGAGGAGAGACCCACAGUGAGGAGCAAGGUC
This 234-nucleotide long non-coding RNA is filed under the name Capra hircus (goat). Its description in RNAcentral is "lncRNA (ENSCHIG00000008284.1)". Lineage: Eukaryota; Metazoa; Chordata; Mammalia; Artiodactyla; Bovidae. The record is from RNAcentral.